RNAcentral lists this ribosomal RNA (915 nucleotides) under uncultured Rhodocyclaceae bacterium. RNAcentral describes it as "bacterial SSU rRNA". It matches the Rfam family "Bacterial small subunit ribosomal RNA", at positions 56 to 942 of the family's 1533-position model. Lineage: Bacteria; Pseudomonadati; Pseudomonadota; Betaproteobacteria; Rhodocyclales; Rhodocyclaceae. The record is from RNAcentral.
UGUCAAGUCGAACGGCAGCACGGACUUCGGUCUGGUGGCGAGUGGCGAACGGGUGAGUAAAGUAUCGGAACGUACCUUUCAGUGGGGGAUAACGUAGCGAAAGUUACGCUAAUACCGCAUAUUCUGUGAGCAGGAAAGCAGGGGAUCGCAAGACCUUGCGCUGAUUGAGCGGCCGAUAUCAGAUUGGCUAGUUGGUGAGGUAAAGGCUCACCAAGGCGACGAUCUGUAGCGGGUCUGAGAGGAUGAUCCGCCACACUGGAACUGAGACACGGUCCAGACUCCUACGGGAGGCAGCAGUGGGGAAUUUUGGACAAUGGGGGCAACCCUGAUCCAGCCAUGCCGCGUGAGUGAAGAAGGCCUUCGGGUUGUAAAGCUCUUUCGGCCGGGAAGAAAUCGUAUGGGUUAAUACCCUGUGCGGAUGACGGUACCGGCAUAAGAAGCACCGGCUAACUACGUGCCAGCAGCCGCGGUAAUACGUAGGGUGCGAGCGUUAAUCGGAAUUACUGGGCGUAAAGGGUGCGCAGGUGGUUAUGUAAGACAGAUGUGAAAUCCCCGGGCUCAACCUGGGAACUGCGUUUGKGACUGMGUGGCUAGAGUAUGGGAGAGGGAGGUGGAAUUYCCGGUGUAGCGGUGAAAUGCGUAGAUAUGUGAAGGAACACCAAUGGCGAAGGCAGACYUCCUGGGCCAAUACUGACACUCAUGCGCGAAAGCGUGUGUGAGCAGAACAGGGAUUAGAUACUCUGGUAGUCCACGCCCGUAAAACGAUGUAGAACUAAGAUGUUGAGGUGGGCUAUGAGACCACUUUAGGWACUCGUCAGCUAAACGUCGUGUAAGGUGAUCCGCCUGGGGAGUACGGGCCGCAUGAUUAAAACUUCAAAGGAAUUGACGGGGACUCGCCACAGCGGUGGAAUGAAU